Molecule: non-coding RNA, 1132 nt
Organism: Paramuricea clavata
Lineage: Eukaryota; Metazoa; Cnidaria; Anthozoa; Malacalcyonacea; Plexauridae
Source: the annotation of a GenBank genome assembly
GCUUAUUUUAUUUUCACUAUAUACAUCCGCAGAGAAAAAAUUAUAUAUUAUAUACAGUUGGUACGGAUUAUUUAAUGAACUAUUUCAAAAUUAAUGAGUUAUUUCAAAAGAGUAACGAUACAUAAACGUGUUUCGAAAACCGAUUCUUUUAAGAAUCGAAUGCAAAUGAAAUUUUGGCGACAUUGUCCUCGUUUCUCCUGUGUUGCAAUGCUGUGCGUGUCUUCUUUAAUUGUAUAUCAAGGCUUAAAUAUUGUAUGUAUUGGAAUACUUUUGAAUUAGCAAAGAUUUUGCAUUCAUGCAGUUAAUCUAAAUUGCAUUAUACGCUAUUUUAAGCCAGGCCUUCAUAUAUUGAAUUUAAUUAAAAAUUAAUUGUAUAAACAGUUUCAAUUCAGCGCCAUUGCCUUUGCAUCAUAUCAAAACUAUUUCGCUUAAUUAAUUGUUAUUUAAUAAGAAAAUUUACAGAUAACAAGCAGUUUCUGACACUUUAUGCCAUCCAUUGAAUGUCGUUGCAAACGUAACAAACGGAAAUGUGUAUUCGACAUUCAAUUACCACAGAUUCCUUUCAGAACUUUAAAAGCUUCUUUCCUCAACACUGGUCUUGUCCAGAAGAAGAUGAGGGAGUUAAGUAUUGUAUUUACUCCAAGGGCUGUGGCGUACCAAGCAAUUAUGACCCUAUAUAAUAUUAUGUCCUUUUCGAGAUAAUAAAUGUUGAGGAACUCGCCGGGAAUACAAAAAAUAUAGAAAGUAACUACAACCAAUGCACAAGACUUGGCAAGCUUUAAUUCCUUCGCGGAAUAUCGUUUUCCAACACGUGAUUUCGGGUCCGUUUCUUGACUACUUGUGUUGCUGCAGUUGUGUCGUAGCAGUCUUUUCCUUGCUGAAUACAAAAUCUGUGAGUAGCAAAAUGUAUGUAGCAGCAUGGGAAUAAUUGCGUAGACCGCGCAAAAAAUGUAGUAGAAUGUGGCAGAAACCACAGCCAAGGGGACGAUUAUUAACGUUACUAAUAUAACACAACAAAUGUAUACUAAAAACAUUUUCUUUGUAACGUAGUUGAGAUGUGCAAUUGGAUGCAAAACCCCCAUGUAUCUUUCAAAAGUCAAUGCGCAUAAAGCUGCUAAGGAUAAUCCCCACG